RNAcentral lists this ribosomal RNA (414 nucleotides) under gamma proteobacterium SCGC AAA028-C06. RNAcentral describes it as "bacterial SSU rRNA". It matches the Rfam family "Bacterial small subunit ribosomal RNA", at positions 355 to 761 of the family's 1533-position model. The record is from RNAcentral. Lineage: Bacteria; Pseudomonadati; Pseudomonadota; Gammaproteobacteria.
UGGGGAAUAUUGGACAAUGGGCGCAAGCCUGAUCCAGCCAUGCCGCGUGUGUGAAGAAGGUCUUCGGAUUGUAAAGCACUUUAAGUUGGGAGGAAGGGCAGUAANUUAAUACNUUGCUGUUUUGACGUUACCCACAGAAUAAGCACCGGCUAACUCCGUGCCAGCAGCCGCGGUAAUACGGAGGGUGCAAGCGUUAAUCGGAAUUACUGGGCGUAAAGCGCGCGUAGGUGGUUUGUUAAGUUGGAUGUGAAAUCCCCGGGCUCAACCUGGGAACUGCAUUCNAAACUGGCAAGCUAGAGUAUGGUAGAGGGUGGUGGAAUUUCCGGUGUAGCGGUGAAAUGCGUAGAUAUNGGNAGGAACACCAGUGGCGAAGGCGGCCCCCUGGACUGAUACUGACACUGAGGUGCGAAAGCG